UGACCAAAAUAGACCGCGCACUCGUUAUCCAUCCCGUCGAUGGCGGCAUUGACCGCCAUUCGGCCAAGUCCCCGACCACCUCCCCUCCUCGGAGGGGGGGCCGGGGCAACAGAACCCACGGCGCCGACGGCGUCAAGGAACACUAUGCCUAACCCGAGGGUGUGGCUGGCUUGCUAGCCACCCCUCGUGUUGCGAUGCUAUCUAAACCACACGACUCUCGGCAACGGAUAUCUCGGCUCUCGCAUCGAUGAAGAACGUAGCGAAAUGCGAUACYUGGUGUGAAUUGCAGAAUCCCGCGAACCAUCGAGUCUUUGAACGCAAGUUGCGCCCGAGGCCACCCGGCUGAGGGCACGCCUGCCUGGGCGUCACGCCAAUACACGCUCCCACCUCCCUCAAUGGGUAGUGGGAUGCGGAUUCUGGCCUUCCGUGCUGUGAGGCGCGGCAGGCCGAAGAUCGGGCUGCCGGCGUAUCGUGCCGGACACAGCGCGUGGUGGACUUCUACUUAGCGCAGUUCCAGCACGUAGCCGGCGUAGUGGCCCCAAGGACCCAACGAACGGAGCGCA
This 563-nucleotide unclassified non-coding RNA is filed under the name Nassella trichotoma. Its description in RNAcentral is "sequence contains ITS1, 5.8S rRNA gene, ITS2". The record is from RNAcentral. Lineage: Eukaryota; Viridiplantae; Streptophyta; Magnoliopsida; Poales; Poaceae.